RNAcentral lists this ribosomal RNA (439 nucleotides) under uncultured bacterium. RNAcentral describes it as "partial 16S ribosomal RNA". It matches the Rfam family "Bacterial small subunit ribosomal RNA", at positions 338 to 795 of the family's 1533-position model. The record is from RNAcentral.
CCUACGGGCGGCAGCAGUGGGGAAUAUUGCACAAUGGGCGGAAGCCUGAAGCAGCAACGCCGCGUGAGCGAUGAAGGCCUUCGGGUCGGAAAGCUUUGUCCUCAAGGGAGAUAAUGACGGUACGUGAGGAGGAAGCCCCGGCUAACUACGUGCAAGCAGCCGCGGUAAUACGUAGUGGGCUAGCGUUAUCCGGAUUUACUGGGCGUAAAGGGUGCGUAGGUGGUUUCUUAAGUCAGAGGUGAAAGGCUACGGCUCAACCGUAGUAAGCCUUUGAAACUGGGGAACUUGAGUGAAGGAGAGGAGAGUGGAAUUCGUAGUGUAGCGGUGAAAUGCGUAGAUAUUAGGAAGAACACCAGUUGCGAAGGCGGCUCUCGGGACUGUAACUGACACUGAGGCACGAAAGCGUGGGGAGCAAACAGGAUUAGAUACCCGUGUAGUC